CACGUAGGGCGCAAGCGUUGUCCGGAAUUAUUGGGCGUAAAGAGCUCGUAGGCGGUCUGUUGCGUCCGCUGUGAAAACUCGGGGCGUAACCCCGAGCCUGCAGUGGAUACGGGCAGACUAGAGGUAGGUAGGGGAGAAUGGAAUUCCCGGUGUAGCGGCGAAAUGCGCAGAUAUCGGGAGGAACACCGGUGGCGAAGGCGGUUCUCUGGGCCUUACCUGACGCUGAGGAGCGAAAGCGUGGGGAGCGAACAGG
Molecule: ribosomal RNA, 253 nt
Filed under: uncultured bacterium
Lineage: Bacteria
Description: partial 16S ribosomal RNA
Rfam family: Bacterial small subunit ribosomal RNA
Source: RNAcentral